CGCUGGGUAGAGCAGUUGGCAGCUCGUCGGGCUCAUAACCCGGGGGCCGUUGGUUCGAGUCCAACCCCAGCUA
This 73-nucleotide transfer RNA is filed under the name Treponema sp. RNAcentral's name for it is "tRNA-Met". It matches the Rfam family "tRNA". Rfam says of the family: Transfer RNA (tRNA) molecules are approximately 80 nucleotides in length. Their secondary structure includes four short double-helical elements and three loops (D, anti-codon, and T loops). Lineage: Bacteria; Pseudomonadati; Spirochaetota; Spirochaetia; Treponematales; Treponemataceae. The record is from RNAcentral.